Molecule: ribosomal RNA, 301 nt
Filed under: uncultured bacterium
Lineage: Bacteria
Description: partial 16S ribosomal RNA
Rfam family: Bacterial small subunit ribosomal RNA
Source: RNAcentral
CAGUCGCCGCGGGAAUACGUAGGGUGCAAGCGUUAAUCGGAAUUACUGGGCGUAAAGCGUGCGCAGGCGGUUGUGUAAGACAGGUGUGAAAUCCCCGGGCUUAACCUGGGAACUGCGCUUGUGACUGCACAGCUAGAGUAUGGCAGAGGGGGGUGGAAUUCCACGUGUAGCAGUGAAAUGCGUAGAGAUGUGGAGGAAUACCGAUGGCGAAGGCAGCCCCCUGGGCCAAUACUGACGCUCAUGCACGAAAGCGUGGGGAGCAAACAGGAUUAGAUACCCGCGUAGUCCCUGUCUCUUAUAC